Molecule: ribosomal RNA, 399 nt
Filed under: uncultured bacterium
Lineage: Bacteria
Description: bacterial SSU rRNA
Rfam family: Bacterial small subunit ribosomal RNA
Source: RNAcentral
UAUUGCACAAUGGGGGAAACCCUGAUGCAGCGACGCCGCGUGAGUGAAGAAGCAAUUCGUUGCGUAAAGCUCUAUCAGCAGGGAAGAAGAAAUGACGGUACCUGAAUAAGAAGCCCCGGCUAACUACGUGCCAGCAGCCGCGGUAAUACGUAGGGGGCAAGCGUUAUCCGGAUUUACUGGGUGUAAAGGGAGCGUAGACGGCAGUGCAAGUCCGAUGUGGAAACCCGGGGCUCAACCCUGGGAGUGCAUUGGAAACUGUACGGCUGGAGUGCAGGAGAGGUAAGCGGAAUUCCUGGUGUAGCGGUGAAAUGCGUAGAUAUCAGGAGGAACACCAGUGGCGAAGGCGGCUUACUGGACUGUAACUGGCGUUGAGGCUCGAAAGCGUGGGGAGCAAACAGG